RNAcentral lists this long non-coding RNA (363 nucleotides) under Rattus norvegicus (Norway rat). Its description in RNAcentral is "long non-coding RNA NONRATT015282". The record is from RNAcentral. Lineage: Eukaryota; Metazoa; Chordata; Mammalia; Rodentia; Muridae.
UCACCGGUUUACUUUAAAAUCCUGGGAGGUGAGGACACGCUCAGAAGGACAGAAAUUGGAGUCAUAACUCAAGGUUCAGCCUCCAACGGAAGAGACCAGGAACUUGGUGUCUGAAUUUUGGGGAAGCACAAGCAUUCAGACCACAGCACCACUCUUCCAAGGAUGUCAGUCCAUGUAACCCUUAUCAACUUCUAUAUGUCCUUUAUAUUCCCCUCAAAAAGCAACUCUCUUCCCACCUUUCUUUAAAGGAAUUAAUUAAUUCCCCCAUGCAAAGCCCAUGGCAAUAAGAAUAUACAACUCCUAUUCUAAGUUCCUCAUGAUUUGUAAAAAAAAUUAUAAAGAUCUUCAUGUUUUUGUUCAGUA